UACGAAGGGGGCUAGCGUUGUUCGGAAUUACUGGGCGUAAAGCGCGCGCAGGCGGCCAUUCAAGUCAGGGGUGAAAGCCCAGAGCUCAACUCUGGAACUGCCCUUGAAACUGUAUGGCUUGAGUAUGAGAGAGGUGAGUGGAAUUCCCAGUGUAGAGGUGAAAUUCGUAGAUAUUGGGAAGAACACCGGUGGCGAAGGCGGCUCACUGGCUCAUUACUGACGCUCAGGCGCGACAGCGUGGGGAGCGAACAGG
RNAcentral lists this ribosomal RNA (253 nucleotides) under uncultured bacterium. RNAcentral's name for it is "partial 16S ribosomal RNA". It matches the Rfam family "Bacterial small subunit ribosomal RNA", at positions 524 to 776 of the family's 1533-position model. The record is from RNAcentral.